AGAACGAACGCUGGCGGCAUGCCUAAUACAUGCAAGUCGAACGAAGGCUUCGGCCUUAGUGGCGCACGGGUGCGUAACGCGUGGGAAUCUGCCCCUUGGUUCGGAAUAACAGUUGGAAACGACUGCUAAUACCGGAUGAUGACGAAAGUCCAAAGAUUUAUCGCCAAGGGAUGAGCCCGCGUAGGAUUAGCUAGUUGGUGAGGUAAGGCUCACCAAGGCGACGAUCCUUAGCUGGUCUGAGAGGAUGAUCAGCCACACUGGGACUGAGACACGGCCCAGACCUCCGUACGGGAGGCCAGCAGGUAGGAAUAUGGACAAGUGGGCGAAAGUCCUGAACUCCACGCAAGUGACCGCGGUGGACGUGACGU
Molecule: ribosomal RNA, 368 nt
Filed under: uncultured soil bacterium
Lineage: Bacteria
Description: bacterial SSU rRNA
Rfam family: Bacterial small subunit ribosomal RNA
Source: RNAcentral